RNAcentral lists this ribosomal RNA (497 nucleotides) under uncultured bacterium. Its description in RNAcentral is "partial 16S ribosomal RNA". It matches the Rfam family "Bacterial small subunit ribosomal RNA", at positions 28 to 507 of the family's 1533-position model. The record is from RNAcentral.
GAUGAACGCUGGCGGCGUGCCUAAUACAUGCAAGUCGAGCGAACGGACGAGAAGCUUGCUUCUCUGAUGUUAGCGGCGGACGGGUGAGUAACACGUGGAUAACCUACCUAUAAGACUGGGAUAACUUCGGGAAACCGUAGCUAAUACCGGAUAAUAUUUUGAACCGCAUGGUUCAAAAGUGAAAGCCGGUCUUGCUGUCACUUAUAGAUGGAUCCGCGCUGCAUUAGCUAGUUGGUAAGGUAACGGCUUACCAAGGCAACGAUGCAUAGCCGAUCUGAGAGGGUGAUCGGCCACACUGGAACUGAGACACGGUCCAGACUCCUACGGGAGGCAGCAGUAGGGAAUCUUCAGCAAUGGGCGAAAGCCUGACGGAGCAACGCCGCGUGAGUGAUGAAGGUCUUCGGAUCGUAAAACUCUGUUAUUAGGGAAGAACAUAUGUGUAAGUAACUGUGCACAUCUUGACGGUACCUAAUCAGAAAGCUACGGCUAACUACGUG